UUUCUCUAAUAUAGGAAUUAGAAUUGAUUAUGACAUAGGCCUAUCUACAAGUCUUGACCAAAAUACGUGCCAGCAGUCGCGGUAAGACGUAAAAGACAAGUGUUAUUCAUCUUUACCAGGUUUAAAGGGUACCUAGACGGUAAAAAUCGUCUUAUAUAAGAUACGAUUAUACUAGAGUUAUAUAUAAGGAGGUGAGUAUUUAUGGAGUGCGAGAGUUGAAAUUUGUUCAUACCAUAAGGACUGGUAAAGGCGAAAGCAACCUUUUAUGUAAUAACUGACGUUGAGGGACGAAGGCUCGGGUAGCGAACAGGAUGUGCGACCUGAAAAGCUCUAAUAAAAACU
Molecule: non-coding RNA, 342 nt
Organism: Arabis alpina (gray rockcress)
Lineage: Eukaryota; Viridiplantae; Streptophyta; Magnoliopsida; Brassicales; Brassicaceae
Source: Rfam